This 372-nucleotide ribosomal RNA is filed under the name uncultured organism. RNAcentral describes it as "partial 16S ribosomal RNA". It matches the Rfam family "Bacterial small subunit ribosomal RNA", at positions 527 to 896 of the family's 1533-position model. The record is from RNAcentral.
GUAGGUGGCAAGCGUUGUCCGGAAUUAUUGGGCGUAAAGCGCGCGCUGGGCGGUCCUUUAAGUCUGAUGUGAAAGCCCACGGCUCAACCGUGGAGGGUCAUUGGAAACUGGGGGACUUGAGUACAGAAGAGGAAAGCGGAAUUCCAAGUGUAGCGGUGAAAUGCGUAGAGAUUUGGAGGAACACCAGUGGCGAAGGCGGCUUUCUGGUCUGUAACUGACGCUGAGGCGCGAAAGCGUGGGGAGCAAACAGGAUUAGAUACCCUGGUAGUCCACGCCGUAAACGAUGAGUGCUAAGUGUUAGGGGGUUUCCGCCCCUUAGUGCUGCAGCUAACGCAUUAAGCACUCCGCCUGGGGAGUACGGCCGCAAGGCUG